RNAcentral lists this ribosomal RNA (759 nucleotides) under Parahaemophilus parainfluenzae. RNAcentral describes it as "Haemophilus parainfluenzae bacterial SSU rRNA". It matches the Rfam family "Bacterial small subunit ribosomal RNA", at positions 28 to 776 of the family's 1533-position model. The record is from RNAcentral. Lineage: Bacteria; Pseudomonadati; Pseudomonadota; Gammaproteobacteria; Pasteurellales; Pasteurellaceae.
AUUGAACGCUGGCGGCAGGCUUAACACAUGCAAGUCGAACGGUAACAUAAAGAAGCUUGCUUCUUUGAUGACGAGUGGCGGACGGGUGAGUAAUGCUUGGGAAUCUAGCUUAUGGAGGGGGAUAACUACGGGAAACUGUAGCUAAUACCGCGUAGUAUCGGAAGAUGAAAGUGUGGGACCUUCGGGCCACAUGCCAUAGGAUGAGCCCAAGUGGGAUUAGGUAGUUGGUGAGGUAAAGGCUCACCAAGCCGACGAUCUCUAGCUGGUCUGAGAGGAUGACCAGCCACACUGGGACUGAGACACGGCCCAGACUCCUACGGGAGGCAGCAGUGGGGAAUAUUGCGCAAUGGGGGCAACCCUGACGCAGCCAUGCCGCGUGAAUGAAGAAGGCCUUCGGGUUGUAAAGUUCUUUCGGUAGCGAGGAAGGCAUUUAGUUUAAUAGACUAGGUGAUUGACGUUAACUACAGAAGAAGCACCGGCUAACUCCGUGCCAGCAGCCGCGGUAAUACGGAGGGUGCGAGCGUUAAUCGGAAUAACUGGGCGUAAAGGGCACGCAGGCGGUGACUUAAGUGAGGUGUGAAAGCCCCGGGCUUAACCUGGGAAUUGCAUUUCAUACUGGGUCGCUAGAGUACUUUAGGGAGGGGUAGAAUUCCACGUGUAGCGGUGAAAUGCGUAGAGAUGUGGAGGAAUACCGAAGGCGAAGGCAGCCCCUUGGGAAUGUACUGACGCUCAUGUGCGAAAGCGUGGGGAGCAAACAGG